This 524-nucleotide ribosomal RNA is filed under the name uncultured bacterium. RNAcentral describes it as "partial 16S ribosomal RNA". It matches the Rfam family "Bacterial small subunit ribosomal RNA", at positions 28 to 523 of the family's 1533-position model. The record is from RNAcentral.
GAUGAACGCUGGCGGCGUGCCUAAUACAUGCAAGUCGAACGAAGCUUUUUUAACUGGUGCUUGCACCGACUUAAACAACUGAGUGGCGAACGGGUGAGUAACACGUGGGUAACCUGCCCCAAAGCGGGGGAUAACAUUUGGAAACAGAUGCUAAUACCGCAUAACCACAGAAACCACAUGGUUUCUGUGUCAAAGAUGGUUUCGGCUAUCACUUUGGGAUGGACCCGCGGCGUAUUAGCUAGUUGGUAAGGUAAUGGCUUACCAAGGCAAUGAUACGUGGCCGAACUGAGAGGUUGAUCGGCCACAUUGGGACUGAGACACGGCCCAAACUCCUACGGGAGGCAGCAGUAGGGAAUCUUCCACAAUGGACGAAAGUCUGGUGGAGCAACGCCGCGUGAGUGAAGAAGGUUUUCGGAUCGUAAAACUCUGUUGUCAGAGAAGAACGUGUGCGAGAGUAACUGUUCGUGCAGUGACGGUAUCUGGCCAGAAAGCCACGGCUAACUACGUGCCAGCCGCCGCGGUAA